CUUUUUUAUGUGAGUAUAAGCCCACACAUUUUCCUGAUUUUUACUAUAGUUGCUUAGUUUAUUUGCUACCGCAUCAGUUGCUUAUGCUUUUUGUAGCUUGGAUGUCCUGGUAUGGCGUGUUUUAAGGUUUGAAUUGACUGAGAACGGUUUCUGAUAUGUGUCAUGCAGUUUAGUUUCUCAGGGGCUUCAAGCUAAAUGGGGGAAAAAUAGGUUCUGAUUAAUAUUUCUAGAUACAAAUGGAGCUGUGGUUAUUUUGAAAAAGGUGGUCAUCCAAGUUUUUCUUAACUACCAAGCAGUUUUUAACAUUUGCCAUUUUAAACUAUUUUAAGGAGGUGUACACUGUUUUGAGAUUGGAGGGGGUCCCUAGAUUGAUUGCAU
Molecule: long non-coding RNA, 378 nt
Filed under: Bos taurus (domestic cattle)
Lineage: Eukaryota; Metazoa; Chordata; Mammalia; Artiodactyla; Bovidae
Description: long non-coding RNA NONBTAT018009
Source: RNAcentral